UGAGUAGUUUGGGCAAGUGUGCGUGUGUGUUGGCAUGAGUGAAGUGACAGCCAGAGGUUGUGGGUUUUUACACUGAUCAAAAUGAGAGGGAACAUCCAUGCCCUCUGGAGCUGUAAAGGGUGAGGUGAGAAGUCAGCAGUCAGGGGAGACGGGGGAUUGGGAUAGGAAGAUUUCACAAAACAAACAGGAUUCUCUGGGAGCUGAGAGAAAGGCUCUGGGCUCAGUGCUCUCGUCUCUCAACAUCCCAGCAGGGCUAUCUGUAAGAGUGGAGCGUCUGUGACCAUCCAGUGCCAUCCAGGGACACUUCAAGCCACAACUGUGUAUUGGUAUCAUCAGUUCCCAAAACAGGGCCUCGUGCUGAUAGCCACUUCUAAUGCGGGCUCUGAUGCCACAUAUGAACAAGGUUAUACCAAGGCCAAGUACCCCAUCAGCCACUCAAGCCUCACAUUUUCAUCUCUGAUGGUGACAAAUAUGCAUCCUGCCGACAGCAGCCUCUACUUCUGUGGUGUCAGAGACACAGCGCUGGGCAGAGAUCAGAGACCAAAACAAGAACCUUUGUAACAGCUCCCACCCCCCACCCCACCAAAGCCAUGGAGCCCCGUGGAAGGAGGUGUGGAGAGAGAAAAACCACAGCCUCUCUGACUGAGUCAGCUGUGAUCGUGUGUAUGCAGAAAGAGAGAGAAAAUAUCUGAGUACGGAGCGUGGAGAAAGCAUGGUGUUAGAGAGCUAGCCAUAUGGGAAUGGAGCUGGUCCUAUACAUGGCCAACCAACCUGGAAAGUUCCCUGGGCUGAAAAUUAUAAAACCUGGAUUUUUCUUCUGACUCUGCCAUAUGUUAAUCAUAUCUUCUUAGAUAAAUCAACACAUAAUCCUAUAGGCACAUCUCAAAAUGCUUCUAUAAUG
Non-coding RNA from Aethalodelphis obliquidens (Pacific white-sided dolphin), 901 nucleotides. Lineage: Eukaryota; Metazoa; Chordata; Mammalia; Artiodactyla; Delphinidae. The record is from the annotation of a RefSeq genome assembly.